GAUGAACGCUGGCGGCGUGCUUAACACAUGCAAGUCGAACGAAGCAAUCUAACGGAAGUUUUCGGAUGGAAGCUGGAUUGACUGAGUGGCGGACGGGUGAGUAACGCGUGGGUAACCUGCCUCACACUGGGGGACAACAGUUAGAAAUGACUGCUAAUACCGCAUAAGCGCACAGGACCGCAUGGUCUAGUGUGAAAAACUCCGGUGGUGUGAGAUGGACCCGCGUUUGAUCAGGUAGUUGGUGGGGUAACGGCCUACCAAGGCGACGAUCAAUAGCCGACCUGAGAGGGUGACCGGCCACAUUGGGACUGAGACACGGCCCAAACUCCUACGGGAGGCAGCAGUGGGGAAUAUUGCACAAUGGGGGAAACCCUGAUGCAGCGACGCCGCGUGAGUGAAGAAGUAUUUCGGUAUGUAAAGCUCUAUCAGCAGGGAAGAAAAUGACGGUACCUGACUAAGAAGCCCCGGCUAACUACGUGCCAGCCGCCGCCGUAA
This 495-nucleotide ribosomal RNA is filed under the name uncultured bacterium. RNAcentral's name for it is "partial 16S ribosomal RNA". It matches the Rfam family "Bacterial small subunit ribosomal RNA", at positions 28 to 523 of the family's 1533-position model. The record is from RNAcentral.